RNAcentral lists this ribosomal RNA (829 nucleotides) under uncultured archaeon. RNAcentral describes it as "bacterial SSU rRNA". It matches the Rfam family "Archaeal small subunit ribosomal RNA", at positions 41 to 878 of the family's 1478-position model. The record is from RNAcentral.
CGAUUAAGCCAUGCAAGUCGAGAGGGUUCGGCCCUCGGCGUACUGCUCAGUAACACGUGGAUAACCUGCCCUAGGGGAGGGGAUAACCCCGGGAAACUGGGGAUAAUACCCUAUAGGUUACAGAUGCUGGAAUGCCCUGUAACCAAAAGCUCCGGCGCCCUAGGAUGGAUCUGCGGCCGAUUAGGUUGUUGUUGGGGUAACGGCCCAACAAGCCCGUAAUCGGUACGGGUUGUGGGAGCAAGAGCCCGGAGUUGGAUUCUGAGACACGAAUCCAGGCCCUACGGGGCGCAGCAGGCGCGAAACCUUUACAAUGCGGGCAACCGUGAUAAGGGAACCUCGAGUGCCUGUAAACGCAGGCUGUUCAGGUGUUUAAAACGCACCUGGAGAAAGGGCCGGGCAAGACCGGUGCCAGCCGCCGCGGUAAUACCGGCGGCUCGAGUGGUGGCCGCUUUUAUUGGGCUUAAAGCGUUCGUAGCUGGGUUGUUAAGUCUCUUGGGAAAUCUGGCGGCUUAACCGUCAGGCGUCUAAGGGAUACUGGCAAUCUUGGAACCGGGAGAGGUGAGGGGUACUUCGGGGGUAGGGGUGAAAUCCUGUAAUCCUCGAGGGACCACCUGUGGCGAAGGCGCCUCACCAGAACGGCUUCGACAGUGAGGGACGAAAGCUGGGGGAGCAAACCGGAUUAGAUACCCGGGUAGUCCCAGCCGUAAACGAUGCGCGUUAGGUGUAUCGGUGACCACGAGUUACCGAGGUGCCGAAGGGAAACCGUGAAACGCGCCGCCUGGGAAGUACGGUCGCAAGGCUGAAACUUAAAGGAAUUGGCGGGGGAGCA